GACGAACGCUGGCGGCGUGCUUAACACAUGCGAGUCGAACGGAAAGGCCUCUUUCGGGGGGUACUCGAGUGGCGAACGGGUGAGUAACACGUGAGUAACCUGCCCUUGACUUUGGGAUAACUUCAGGAAACUGGGGCUAAUACCGGAUAGGAGCUCCUGCUGCAUGGUGGGGGUUGGAAAGUUUCGGCGGUUGGGGAUGGACUCGCGGCUUAUCAGCUUGUUGGUGGGGUAGUGGCUUACCAAGGCUUUGACGGGUAGCCGGCCUGAGAGGGUGACCGGCCACAUUGGGACUGAGAUACGGCCCAGACUCCUACGGGAGGCAGCAGUGGGGAAUAUUGCACAAUGGGUGGAAGCCUGAUGCAGCAACGCCGUGUGCGGGAUGACGGCCUUCGGGUUGUAAACCGCUUUCGCUCAUGACGAAGCUUUGUGUGACGGUAGUGGGUAAAGAAGCACCGGCUAACUACGUA
This 467-nucleotide ribosomal RNA is filed under the name uncultured bacterium. RNAcentral describes it as "partial 16S ribosomal RNA". It matches the Rfam family "Bacterial small subunit ribosomal RNA", at positions 28 to 507 of the family's 1533-position model. The record is from RNAcentral.